Biomphalaria glabrata is the source of this 1337-nucleotide long non-coding RNA. RefSeq lists it as uncharacterized. The transcript is spliced from 2 exons. NCBI's taxonomy places the organism in Eukaryota, Metazoa, Mollusca, Gastropoda, Planorbidae. The record is from RefSeq and is a predicted model, not a curated record.
GGCAUCUAGAUCUAGGUAGGUUACAGUAUAUGGUCUUUUGUGAAAUUUUGAGAAUUUAGCAGAGUAGGGAGCAAUUAAAAUAGGGAAAAGUGACACUAAUCUGUUGGUCUUGAGUUGGUUUAAAAAGAAAUUGAUAUUAAAAUAUAAAAAAAUUGAAGAUGUUAUUAUUUUUAAAUACUAUAAGAUGAAGUGUUCAUUAGUGUACACAGCUGGGAAUGAUGUUCAUUAAUGUUAGCGCUGGACCUCAUUGACCUGACCCUCUUCAACAUCAUAUUUGAUUGUAACUAUGCGUAGCGUAAAAAGCAAUAUAUAAUAUCUAUUUUUAUUGACAAUUGGAUGACAAGUUUAUAGAUGUUUCCAGUUUUUUUUCCUAGGACUAACCUAUAAAAAUUCAAACAUUAAAAUUGCUGCGACAACGCUUAACUUGUUCGGAUGAUGAAAAAUAUAUAUCUAUUUCAUUCGUCCAACCAUCAUCAUCUGAUGAUGACCACUUGUCACUGUGUAUGUAAAUGUCAUCCAGGGCCAGGGAGCUGUCUGAGUUACGCUGGGAGUGAUUGAGUGCUUGCUGCUUUGCACUGUUGAUGGUGUUUUCUGCCUCCUCAUAUAGUCAUAUAUUCGAAAUGUAGCCGCUCAUGAGCAGGGUGACAUGUGGCCAGCAUAAUGACCAACCAAAUUCAGGUGUAUGACUAUGUAGCCUACCUGUUACUACUGUUAGUGUUGGAUGGACUAAGAGUCAGAGGCUGAUUUAAAAUCCAGAAAUUAAAUUCAAAAUCCCAGUCUUCACUGAGAUUCGAAUCAAGGACCUCAUGCCCUUGUCAUGCCUUGUUUAGAAGCCAAGGGCUUAACCACUCAGCCACAGCGCCCCCUAAGUCUAAGUUAAGUCUUAAGUGAUAACAGGUUAAAUUUUGUAUUUUUUUCUUCCAUGGCAAAUGGGAGAAUUAGUGAUGAGUAACUUAGGUCACUUUAAAAAAUAUAUAGAUUCUCUCAAUAUUUUCCAUUUAAUACACAUUAAUUCAAAGCACAAAACUCUUCAGUAGACCAGUUAAUUAGCUUAAACCAUAAAAUGUAAGCAUUCUGAAUUGUUUGUAAAAUAUUGGCAGUUCAGUUUUAUCUAUUUUAUUGGUGGAAGUGUUUGACUUUAAGAAUUUGAUGAGGCCUGCUUUACUGAUAAAAUCAUCUUAGGACUUUGUGAUUAUUGCGGCACUUUAGUCCAUUUUAUAACUUUAGUAUGCAAAUUUAUAUUUUAUUGAAAUUUACUCCUUUUUUUAUUUUUUUUAAUAGGAAUAGCCAUUAUUGUAUUUGCAUUACCACAAGAUGCCAUGUAACGAAACUGGAUU